GGAUCCAGACUUUGAUCCUGGCUCAGGACGAACGCUGGCGGCGUGCUUAACACAUGCAAGUCGAACGAGAAUCUGAUGACGGAGUUUUCGGACAACUGAUUCAGAGGACAGUGGCGGACGGGUGAGUAACGCGUGAGGAACCUGCCUUUCAGAGGGGGACAACAGUUGGAAACGACUGCUAAUACCGCAUGAAGCGUAUUGAUCGCAUGGUCGAUACGCCAAAGAUUUAUCGCUGAAAGAUGGCCUCGCGUCUGAUUAGCUAGUUGGUGAGGUAACGGCCCACCAAGGCGACGAUCAGUAGCCGGACUGAGAGGUUGAACGGCCACAUUGGGACUGAGAUACGGCCCAGACUCCUACGGGAGGCAGCAGUGGGGAAUAUUGGGCAAUGGGCGCAAGCCUGACCCAGCAACGCCGCGUGAAGGAAGAAGGCUUUCGGGUUGUAAACUUCUUUUGUCGGGGACGAGUAGAAGACGGUACCUGACGAAUAAGCCACGGCUAACUACGUGCCAGCAGCCGCGGUAAUACGUAGGUGGCAAGCGUUGUCCGGAUUUACUGGGUGUAAAGGGCGUGUAGCCGGGAGGGCAAGUCAGAUGUGAAAUCCAC
This 603-nucleotide ribosomal RNA is filed under the name uncultured Bacillota bacterium. Its description in RNAcentral is "bacterial SSU rRNA". It matches the Rfam family "Bacterial small subunit ribosomal RNA", at positions 1 to 604 of the family's 1533-position model. The record is from RNAcentral. Lineage: Bacteria; Bacillati; Bacillota.